Molecule: transfer RNA, 54 nt
Filed under: Sciurus vulgaris (Eurasian red squirrel)
Lineage: Eukaryota; Metazoa; Chordata; Mammalia; Rodentia; Sciuridae
Description: partial tRNA-Pro
Source: RNAcentral
CAGGGAGUAGUUUAAAAUAAGAAUAUCAGCUUUGGGAGUUGAAGGGGAAUGGAU